CAGACUUGAACACCAAAAUAAAUUAUAUAUAUAACAAAGGUUUGGAACAUGAACGACCUUGCAACUAUCAGAAUAACUGAGGUCGUCUGAUGAACGACCUCAGUUAUUCUGAUGAACGAAAUUGCAAGCCCCGGCAAAGGAGAGAGAAGUUGCAAACCAGGAUCAAAGUUUUUUGAAUAUCUCAUUUGCUCUGAAAAAUCGAAAAGUAAUAAAAGAGGUAAUGAGGGAUACGAGAAAAAACCCACAUACAGUAGAAACCCAACCAUCUUUAACAGACUAAGAAAUGACAAGGACAAAAGAAAAGAUGAAGAAAAGAGAGUUUAUGAGAUCCCAGUAAUAUA
This 341-nucleotide long non-coding RNA is filed under the name Androctonus crassicauda. Lineage: Eukaryota; Metazoa; Arthropoda; Arachnida; Scorpiones; Buthidae. The record is from RNAcentral.